This 403-nucleotide ribosomal RNA is filed under the name uncultured bacterium. Its description in RNAcentral is "partial 16S ribosomal RNA". It matches the Rfam family "Bacterial small subunit ribosomal RNA", at positions 30 to 526 of the family's 1533-position model. The record is from RNAcentral.
AUUGAACGCUGGCGGCAGGCCUAACACAUGCAAGUCGAGCGAGCGGCGGACGGGUGAGUAAUGUAUGGGGACUGCCCGAUAGAGGGGGAUAACUACUGGAAACGGUGGAUAAUACCGCAUACUAUCGGAUAACCCAUAUGGGAGUAGCUAGUAGGUUGGGUAAAUGCCCACCUCGGCGACGAUCUCUAGCUGGUCUGAGAGGAUGAUCAGCCACACUGGGACUGAGACACGGCCCAGACUCCUCCGGAGGCAGCAGUGGGGAAUUGUGCACAAUGGGCGCAAGCCUGAUACAGCCAUGCCGCGUGUAUGAAGAAGGCCUUAGGGUUGUAAAGUACUUUCAGCGGGGAGGCGUUACCCGCAGAAGAAGCACCGGCUAACUCCGUGCCAGCAGCCGCGGUAAUUC